Molecule: transfer RNA, 60 nt
Filed under: Dipodomys ordii (Ord's kangaroo rat)
Lineage: Eukaryota; Metazoa; Chordata; Mammalia; Rodentia; Heteromyidae
Rfam family: tRNA
About the family: Transfer RNA (tRNA) molecules are approximately 80 nucleotides in length. Their secondary structure includes four short double-helical elements and three loops (D, anti-codon, and T loops). Further hydrogen bonds mediate the characteristic L-shaped molecular structure. tRNAs have two regions of fundamental functional importance: the anti-codon, which is responsible for specific mRNA codon recognition, and the 3' end, to which the tRNAs corresponding amino acid is attached (by aminoacyl-tRNA synthetases). tRNAs cope with the degeneracy of the genetic code in two manners: having more than one tRNA (with a specific anti-codon) for a particular amino acid; and 'wobble' base-pairing, i.e. permitting non-standard base-pairing at the 3rd anti-codon position.
Source: Rfam by way of RNAcentral
GUGGCUCAGUAGUAGAGCACUUGCCUAGCAUGCAUGAGGCCCUGGGUUCAAUUCCUCAGC